RNAcentral lists this transfer RNA (72 nucleotides) under Ictidomys tridecemlineatus (thirteen-lined ground squirrel). RNAcentral's name for it is "Spermophilus tridecemlineatus (thirteen-lined ground squirrel) tRNA". It matches the Rfam family "tRNA". Rfam says of the family: Transfer RNA (tRNA) molecules are approximately 80 nucleotides in length. The record is from Rfam by way of RNAcentral. Lineage: Eukaryota; Metazoa; Chordata; Mammalia; Rodentia; Sciuridae.
GGAAUUGUAGCUUAGUGGUAGAGUACUUGCCUAGCAUGUGUGAGGCCCUGGGUUUGAUCCCCAGCACUGUUU